Molecule: long non-coding RNA, 514 nt
Organism: Cebus imitator (Panamanian white-faced capuchin)
Lineage: Eukaryota; Metazoa; Chordata; Mammalia; Primates; Cebidae
Exons: 3
Source: RefSeq, a predicted model, not a curated record
UAUUGAAAUGAACAGAUGCAUUCCACGUCACAUGGAUCUCAUGGAAACAUGCCAACCAUUUUCUUAGCAACCAAACUCCUGUCUUCUGCACUGUGCAUGAUUAACUAAAACAGCCUGUUGACGGCUUAAAAUAAACCUGCCUUUUCCAUUUAGCAUUUUAUCAAAUGAAUAUAAUUUCAUUUGCUGAUGAAUUUAAUUCAGCUUCAAGAGAAGUUUUCUUUUCUUCAUGGGGAGGCUGAAGAAUCAGAACUGUCAUGCCAAAGAAUGAAAAGCAAGCCUAGGGAGAACAAGACAGUCUGAUGUUUACAUGGAAGGUGUAUGAGCAAAUAAGUAGAUCACUAUGUAAAGGAUUAGAGAAAGAAGGUAAACUUAGCACCUGUUAACCUGGGGGCAAGUGAGCUUCAGAUUGGUUAGACUUCCCUCAGGCUGUAGGUUAGGACCAGGUCUGCUACAAGAGUCGCUCAUCUUCCUUGGACCAACAGUUAAUCAAGGAACGUUCUUCUCAUGGCAAAAG